GUUCUCUCUUUCUCUCUCUCUUUUUCUUUUUCGUUUUUUUUUUUUUUUUUUUUUUUUUUUUUUUUUUUUGGGUUGGGGAUCAAACUCACAACCUUGCACUUGCCAGACAGGCACUUGUGCCACUGAGCUAAAUCCCUGCCCUUUCCUACCCUUUAAAAACUGUCCUACUGGGCCCGAGAUGCCAUGAACCUUUCAAGCAGGAGAGGAAGCAAAGGGCAUGGGUGUGUGUUUCUAAAGGCUCAUUCCCAAAUUCUACUUCCUGUGCCUCUUUUGGAUCCUGCCUGUCAAGCCUACCUAUCAAGCACCACACUGAGACCAACCGUACAACUGGCCACUAAGCAUGACUCAGAAGAAGUCCAUCAGGAAUUACUGAAACUCAGAAAGUGCCAGGAUUUGUGAACUCCUGACUUCAUGGCGCCACAAUAGUUGUAUCUGAUGAAGUAAAGCAGCUAAAGAGAAAGUGCCUUUGGAUUGAUUUCAGCUAGAAGACAGAUAGAUCCCAGAGCUGAUUGGAAACAUCACCAGAUAUUGUGUUCGUAUUCUUUAUAGCAGUUGUCUUGAUGUUACCAGCAGGAGGCAUCUUGUAACCAAAAACAUUUUUCCUUAGGCUGAUACUUUUAAUAAAUUUACCUUCUGCUUGUUUUCAUUCAACUUUCUGUUUGUUUAUUUCUUACUAUCUUCUACUUAGAAACCAAAUGCUGUGCUGUGGCAUGGUUAGACAUCGG
RNAcentral lists this long non-coding RNA (725 nucleotides) under Cavia porcellus (domestic guinea pig). RNAcentral's name for it is "lncRNA (ENSCPOG00000036593.1)". Lineage: Eukaryota; Metazoa; Chordata; Mammalia; Rodentia; Caviidae. The record is from RNAcentral.